Non-coding RNA from Schistosoma curassoni, 45 nucleotides. The record is from Rfam. Lineage: Eukaryota; Metazoa; Platyhelminthes; Trematoda; Strigeidida; Schistosomatidae.
AUUCAACUGACGAAUCUCAAAUAAGACGAAACGUGUGUCGUGGAU